RNAcentral lists this ribosomal RNA (118 nucleotides) under Betta splendens (Siamese fighting fish). The record is from RNAcentral. Lineage: Eukaryota; Metazoa; Chordata; Actinopteri; Anabantiformes; Osphronemidae.
GCUUACGGCCAUACCACCCUGAGCACGCCCGAUCUCAUCUCAUCUCGUAAGUUAAGCAGCGUCGGGCUUGUUAGUACUUGGAUGGGAGACUGCCUUGGAAUACCAGGUGCUCUAAGCU